This 422-nucleotide ribosomal RNA is filed under the name uncultured archaeon. RNAcentral describes it as "partial 16S ribosomal RNA". It matches the Rfam family "Archaeal small subunit ribosomal RNA", at positions 323 to 746 of the family's 1478-position model. The record is from RNAcentral.
CUACGGGCCGCAGCAGGCGCGAAACCUUUACAAUGCACGCAAGUGUGAUAAGGGGAUCCUAAGUGCUCAUGCAUUGCAUGGGCUUUUGCCAAGAGUAAAUAUCUUGGCGAAUAAGUGGUGGGUAAGACUGGUGCCAGCCGCCGCGGUAACACCAGCGCCACGAGUGGCAACCACGUUUAUUGGGCCUAAAGCGUCCGUAGCCGGUUUGGUAAAUUUCUUGUGAAAUCGACAGGCUUAACUUGUCGGCGCGCUUGAAACACUGCCAAACUUGAGACCGGGAGGAGUCAGAGGUAUUCCAGAGGGAGCGGUAAAAUGUGAUAAUCUCUGGAGGAUCACCUAUGGCGAAGGCAUCUGACCAGAACGGAUCUGACGGUGAGGGACGAAGGCUAGGGGAGCGAUCCGGAUUAGAUACCCCCGUAGUC